RNAcentral lists this transfer RNA (64 nucleotides) under Gallionella sp. RNAcentral describes it as "tRNA-Gly". It matches the Rfam family "tRNA", at positions 5 to 66 of the family's 71-position model. From Rfam's summary of the family: Transfer RNA (tRNA) molecules are approximately 80 nucleotides in length. Their secondary structure includes four short double-helical elements and three loops (D, anti-codon, and T loops). Further hydrogen bonds mediate the characteristic L-shaped molecular structure. tRNAs have two regions of fundamental functional importance: the anti-codon, which is responsible for specific mRNA codon recognition, and the 3' end, to which the tRNAs corresponding amino acid is attached (by aminoacyl-tRNA synthetases). tRNAs cope with the degeneracy of the genetic code in two manners: having more than one tRNA (with a specific anti-codon) for a particular amino acid; and 'wobble' base-pairing, i.e. permitting non-standard base-pairing at the 3rd anti-codon position. Lineage: Bacteria; Pseudomonadati; Pseudomonadota; Betaproteobacteria; Nitrosomonadales; Gallionellaceae. The record is from RNAcentral.
GUGUGGUUCAAUGGUAGAACGGCAGCCUCCCAAGCCGCAUACGACGGUUCGACCCCGCUCACAA